AGUACCGUCAGCCCUAGACACGUCCAGGGGUUUCUUCCUAUACAAAAGCAGUUUACAACCCAGAGGGCCUUCGUCCUGCACGCGGCAUGGCUGGUUCAGACUUGCGUCCAUUGACCAAUAUUCCCUACUGCUGCCUCCCGUAG
RNAcentral lists this ribosomal RNA (143 nucleotides) under uncultured bacterium. Its description in RNAcentral is "partial 16S ribosomal RNA". The record is from RNAcentral.